This 684-nucleotide long non-coding RNA is filed under the name Gallus gallus (chicken). The record is from RNAcentral. Lineage: Eukaryota; Metazoa; Chordata; Aves; Galliformes; Phasianidae.
AGGACGGCCGUCUGACGCGGGAGGAGAUCGUGGCCAAAUACGACCUAUUUGUGGGCAGCCAGGCCACCGACUUCGGGGAGGCGUUGGUGCGACACGACGAGUUCUGAGGACCCCCCCCCCCCCCCCCAUGUCCCACCCAGCCCAGCAUGGACCGAUUAUGGGGGGGGGGGGGGAUGCUGAGAUUUGGGGCCGAUUGGGCUGAAUUUGGGGUCGGGUGCUGAGGUUUGGGGUCAGUCUGUGAGAGUUUGGGGUCAGAUGCUGAGAUUUGGGGUCAGAUGCUGAGAUUUGGGGCCGAUUGGGCUGAAUUUGGGGUCAGGUGCUGAGAUUUGGGGUCGGUUUGUGAGAGUUUGGGGUCAGGGCUGGAGAUUUGGGGUCAUUUCAUGAGAGUUUGGGGUCAGAUGCUGAGAUUUGGGGCUGAUUGGGCUGAAUUUGGGGUCAGUUCAUGAGAGUUUGGGGUCAGAUGCUGAGAUUUGGGGUCAGAUGCUGAGAUUUGGGGUCAUUUCAUGAGAGUUCGGGGUCAGAUGCUGAGAUUUGGGGUCAGAUGCUGAGAUUUGGGGCCGAUUGGGCUGAAUUUGGGGUCGGGUGCUGAGAUUUGGGGUCAUUUUGUGAGAGUUUGGGGUCAGAUGCUGAGAUUUGGGGUCAGAUGCUGAGAUUUGGGGUCCGUUUGUGAGAGUUUGGGGUCAG